This 337-nucleotide unclassified non-coding RNA is filed under the name soil metagenome. Its description in RNAcentral is "partial contains 5.8S ribosomal RNA, internal transcribed spacer 2, and large subunit ribosomal RNA". The stretch from base 1 to 120 matches the Rfam family "5.8S ribosomal RNA", at positions 35 to 154 of the family's 154-position model. The record is from RNAcentral.
GAUGAAGAACGCAGCGAAAUGCGAUAAGUAGUGUGAAUUGCAGAAUUCAGUGAAUCAUCGAAUCUUUGAACGCACAUUGCGCCCCUUGGUAUUCCAUGGGGCAUGUCUGUUCGAGCGUCAUUUGUACCUUCAAGCUCUGCUUGGUGUUGGGUGUUUGUCUCGCCUCUGCGUGUAGACUCGCCUCAAAACAAUUGGCAGCCGGCGUAUUGAUUUCGGAGCGCAGUACAUCUCGCGCUUUGCACUCAUAACGACGACGUCCAAAAGUACAUUUUUACACUCUUGACCUCGGAUCAGGUAGGGAUACCCGCUGAACUUAAGCAUAUCAAUAAGCGGAGGA